This 253-nucleotide ribosomal RNA is filed under the name uncultured bacterium. Its description in RNAcentral is "partial 16S ribosomal RNA". It matches the Rfam family "Bacterial small subunit ribosomal RNA", at positions 524 to 776 of the family's 1533-position model. The record is from RNAcentral.
UACAGAGGGUGCGAGCGUUGUUCGGAAUUAUUGGGCGUAAAGGGCGCGUAGGCGGUGCGGUAAGUCACCUGUGAAAUCUCCUGGCUCAACUGGGAGCUUGCAGGCGAAACUGCCGUGCUGGAGUGUGGGAGAGGUGCGUGGAAUUCCUGGUGUAGCGGUGAAAUGCGUAGAUAUCGGGAGGAACACCAGUGGCGAAGGCGGUUGCCUGGAGCUUUGCUGACGCUGAUGCGCGAAAGCGUGGGGAGCGAUCCGG